UACGUAGGGUGCGAGCGUUGUCCGGAAUUAUUGGGCGUAAAGGGCUCGUAGGCGGUUUGUCGCGUCGGGAGUGAAAACCUUGGGCUUAACUCAGGGCUUGCUUUCGAUACGGGCAGACUAGAGGUAUGCAGGGGAGAACGGAAUUCCUGGUGUAGCGGUGAAAUGCGCAGAUAUCAGGAGGAACACCGGUGGCGAAGGCGGUUCUCUGGGAAUGUACUGACGCUGAGGAGCGAAAGUGUGGGGAGCGAACAGG
Molecule: ribosomal RNA, 253 nt
Filed under: uncultured bacterium
Lineage: Bacteria
Description: partial 16S ribosomal RNA
Rfam family: Bacterial small subunit ribosomal RNA
Source: RNAcentral